RNAcentral lists this long non-coding RNA (1277 nucleotides) under Mus musculus (house mouse). RNAcentral describes it as "long non-coding RNA chr6:134112880-134114157". The record is from RNAcentral. Lineage: Eukaryota; Metazoa; Chordata; Mammalia; Rodentia; Muridae.
GGUCUCGGGAUUUGUGUUGAUUUGUAAAGGCGUUCAAUUUUUAUCUUUCGUGGUUUUUUUAGAUAUGCAAAAUAGGAGAGGAAUCCAUGACCACCUUUUUUUUUUUUUUUUUUUGCUGUUGGAAGGUUUUUCUGUACAAGCAAAAAUUAUUAUUGACUUUGCUGUCAGCAUCAAGAGAUGUAUUUUACUCCCUCCAGGAAGAGACCAUUUGACUUUGACCUUACUUUUGCUAAUUCUUCUCUUCCAGUCCUUAACCUCUACCAUUUAGGGGCUUAACCGUGGACCUUCAGCAAAGCCUGUGGCCUUUGUAGACCUUUGUAGGUCUUUGUGAGUGGUGGUGAGAAAUCCCUGUCCAUUUCUUGUUCCCUUUUACCUUGGUAUUUUAGAGAUAUCUGCAGAGCAACGUGGCAGAAAGCAGUAUAACCUGUCUGAUAAGUAGUCCUGUCUAAACAGAGGAAGGCCAAUAAGGCCCUGCUCUGGCACUGCCGGCCUCAGAGGAGCCAAUUGUGUGCACAAAGGGUACAAGUCAGUGAGGCUUUUGGGGAGAGUAGUGCUCACAGUCCAGGAGAGAGCUGAGUUCAAUAGCAUCAGGACUCUGAUGAGGUGGGCCUGUUGCUGUGUGAACAUCUGACAGUUGUCCCCACUCUACUAACCUGUGACCUCAUCUGGCUCCUUUAGAUUUCUUCCUGUAGCUGCAGACAGUGGUGUUGGCAACUCUUCGGUGCAGAAUGUGGGCGGUUUUCGGUUUCCCCCUUUUGCUCCGAAGAAUUCAGCCAUGGACACCUAAUGGAAGUAUAAGGAAAAAAAGCCCUACUGUGGUCUGCUGGCACCUCAGUAGGCUGUCAUUUGCUUUCCUCAGACAAUUCCUUUCCAGUGCUCUAGUUACAUACCCGCUGGUAUCCUGAGGAGAGCCUUUCCCCAAGUGUGUACAGACACAUUGGCUCUGUCCUGUGAGUGAGUGUCUCCUGGAUGCGAGCCCUUCUGAACUUCAUGUUCUUUCUCUCCCCUUCUAGAUCUGGCCCCUAGUGUCCUUGAGACCCACUAAAGAGGAGAGUAGAGAGACUGCCCUUCACAAUACUGCAUUUUAAAAGUGGGAAGCACUGCAAGGGAGAAGUGAUUUUAACUAUGGGUUUUUCUGUGGCGGUAUCUCCCUAUUACAAUAAAAAAGUCAUGAAUAAAUCUAAAGAGGCAGGUUUUGGUCUUUAGGAAGCAAUGAUGAAUGAAAACAAAAAAUAUGCAUAUAUAAUGUAUUGCCAACACCUUCAGCAACAUUUAAU